This 316-nucleotide ribosomal RNA is filed under the name Tolania sp. CPL-2004. Its description in RNAcentral is "partial 12S small subunit ribosomal RNA". Lineage: Eukaryota; Metazoa; Arthropoda; Insecta; Hemiptera; Membracidae. The record is from RNAcentral.
UUAGAACAAAAGUAGUUAUGUUCUUCAUAAUUCAAAGAAUUUGGCGGUAAAUUUUUUUUAGAGGAUUUUGUGUUUUAAUUGAUAAACCACGAUAAUUUAUACCCUCUAUUUAUUUGUAUAUCUCUAUGUUUUGGAAUGUUUCUUUAGAAUGGUUAUUUUCUUUAGAAUUAUUUUAUUUAUUUUAGGUCAAGGUGCAGUUUUUAGAUGGCGGACAUGAAUUACUUUAGUGUGAAUUUGUUUUUUAAUAUUUUUAUUUUUAAUAUGUUAAUUAAUAGGAUUUAAUAGUAAUUUUAGUUAAUUAAUUAGUUUGAAUUUU